UCUCUCUUCAAGAAUAAUGAGAUAAAAAAUAAUUUAAUACUAAAUUAAAAAUUCCAAAAGACUUUCCAAAUAAAAUUCUUCAAAUGAAAUAAUAUUUCUCUCUCUUUAAUGAUGAAGAGAGACCAGAACAAUCAUAUUUAAAGAAUCUCAUUUAAAACUCUUUUUGAUAAUGUGAAUCUUCAUCAAAUGAGAUGAAGAGUCUUUUAACCAUGUUCUCACAUCACUACUUGGCCAAAGGGCACCAAGCAGCCACUAGUCAAUCAUUUUAACUAAAAUUAAAAGAAUACUUAUUAGUUUUUACAAAACACACAUAAGAUGAAAUGAGUUUAAUUUGGCCUCGUGGGUCGAGGUUUGCUUUGACAAGAAAAGGAAAAAGAAAAAGAAAUGAAUGUUGAAAAAGAAAAUCAUCCAUUCAAAUUAAAGAUACGAGGCUCAGCUUUCCUGACUAUGUUUUGGCAGCAGCGAGAGCGUAGAAUGAGCUACCUUAUCUAGAAUCUGAACGGUAGAUUUAUUGCAGAAGCAUGUGAUGCAUCUCUACAGAACAGAAGCAGCACUUUUUCGCUGUAAUGGGCCUAAGGUUGAGCUGUAAAUGUACGUUGCUUAAGUCCUACAACUGCACUAUGUUUCUAGUAACAGAGAUGUUUCUAGUACCAUCUCUGUUACUAGAAAACCACAACCAAAAGCUAGCUAGCUUUAGAAUUAUGACAAGCCCUAAUCGAGGACAACAGAUACAUGAACCAUACGCAACGAAGCCCUGCACAUAUAACUCAAAUUCAAUUCGCACCCUUAAAACGACCGUCAUGUGAUGUGUUAACUGUUCCUUAUCUUGCCACGUGAAAGGUCGACGAAUGCGGACGCCUAGCCAAUGCAAUCAGCGAUGAUGG
This 884-nucleotide long non-coding RNA is filed under the name Citrus sinensis (sweet orange). RNAcentral's name for it is "long non-coding RNA (CSIN_LNC000567)". The record is from RNAcentral. Lineage: Eukaryota; Viridiplantae; Streptophyta; Magnoliopsida; Sapindales; Rutaceae.